UACGUAGGGGGCGAGCGUUGUCCGGAGUUACUGGGCGUAAAGCGCACGCAGGCGGUCCGUCGCGUUGGGGGUGACAGCUCUCGGCUAAACCGAAAGAGUGCCUUCAAAACGGAUGGACUUGAGGCAUCGAGAGGGACACGGAAUUCCGGGUGGAGUGGUGAAAUGCGUAGAGAUCCGGAAGAACACCAAAGGCGAAGGCAGUGUCCUGGCGAUGAACUGACGCUGAGGUGCGAAAGCUAGGGGAGCGAACAGG
This 253-nucleotide ribosomal RNA is filed under the name uncultured bacterium. Its description in RNAcentral is "partial 16S ribosomal RNA". It matches the Rfam family "Bacterial small subunit ribosomal RNA", at positions 524 to 776 of the family's 1533-position model. The record is from RNAcentral.